This 393-nucleotide ribosomal RNA is filed under the name uncultured Planctomycetota bacterium. RNAcentral's name for it is "bacterial SSU rRNA". It matches the Rfam family "Bacterial small subunit ribosomal RNA", at positions 359 to 744 of the family's 1533-position model. Lineage: Bacteria; Pseudomonadati; Planctomycetota. The record is from RNAcentral.
GAAUCUUCCGCAAUGGGCGAAAGCCUGACGGGGCGACGCCGCGUGAACGAAGAAGGCCUUCGGGUGGUAAAGUUCUGUCAGUAGAGAAGAACGAGCAUCGGUUAAUAGCCGGUGCUUUGACGUUAUCUUCAGAGGAAGCCCUGGCUAACUCCGUGCCAGCAGCCGCGGUAAUACGGAGAGGGCAAGCGUUGUUCGGAAUCACUGGGCAUAAAGGGCACGUAGGCGGAUCAGAAAGUCGGUUGUGAAAGCCCGGGGCUCAACCCCGGAACUGCUUCCGAAACUUCUGGUCUAGAGGGUGAGAGGGGAGAGUGGAACUUCUGGUGGAGCGGUGAAAUGCGUAGAGAUCAGAAGGAACACCGGUGGCGAAAGCGACUCAUCUGGCUCAUUCCUGAC